GAAUGUAACAAAAACCAAACAUAUUGCCAAAACAUGAUUAAAUCAUAUGUACGAGUGGCCGCUUUUCAAUUUCUCUCUUUUCAGAUUUUCCAGGAAGGUUCUAUGGCUAAAGGUGGGCACAUCCAACCGCAAACAAAACUUUGUGGCCAGAUACUUCUUUGAGGCUGUUCAAGAACAGGGUGGCUGUCCUCAAAUGAUUCGGGGGGACAGAGGAAAGGAGAACCUUGUUGUUGGUCAAAUGCAGAUGGCAUUUCACAUGCGAGAUCUUGGGAA
Molecule: long non-coding RNA, 273 nt
Organism: Oreochromis niloticus (Nile tilapia)
Lineage: Eukaryota; Metazoa; Chordata; Actinopteri; Cichliformes; Cichlidae
Exons: 2
Source: RefSeq, a predicted model, not a curated record